GGGGCCCGAGUUGUAAUUUGGAGAGGGUGCUUUGGUGUCGGCAGCAGCCUAAGUUCCUUGGAACAGGUCAUCAUAGAGGGUGAGAAUCCCGUAUGUGGCUGAUUGUCUUCACCGUGUAAAGCCCCUUCGACGAGUCGAGUUGUUUGGGAAUGCAGCUCUAAAUGGGAGGUAAAUUUCUUCUAAAGCUAAAUACUGGCCAGAGACCGAUAGCGCACAAGUAGAGUGAUCGAAAGAUGAAAAGCACUUUGGAAAGAGAGUCAAAAAGCACGUGAAAUUGUUGAAAGGGAAGCGCUUGCAGCCAGACGUGCCCGUAGUUGCUCAUCUGGGGUUUUCCCCAGUGCACUCUUCUAUGGGCAGGCCAGCAUCAGUCCGGGCGGUUGGAGAAAGGCCUGUGUCACGUAGCUGCUUUCGGGCAGUGUUAUAGGGCAGGUGGAAUACGACCAGCCUGGACUGAGGUCCGCGCAUCUGCUAGGAUGCUGGCGUAAUGGCUGUAAGCGGCCCGUCUUGAAACACGGACCAAGGAGUCUAACAUCUAUGCGAGUGUUUGGGUGUCAAGCCCGAGCGCGCAAUGAAAGUGAACGGAGGUGGGAACCCUCGGGUGCACCAUCGACCGAUCCUGAUGUCUUCGGAUGGAUUUGAGUAAGAGCAUAGCUGUUGGGACCCGAAAGAUGGUGAACUAUGCCUGAAUAGGGUGAAGCCAGAGGAAACUCUGGUGGAGGCUCGCAGCGGUUCUGACGUGCAAAUCGAUCGUCAAAUUUGGGCAUAGGGGCGAAAGACUAAUCGAAC
Molecule: ribosomal RNA, 786 nt
Filed under: Byssosphaeria schiedermayeriana
Lineage: Eukaryota; Fungi; Ascomycota; Dothideomycetes; Pleosporales; Melanommataceae
Description: eukaryotic LSU rRNA
Rfam family: Eukaryotic large subunit ribosomal RNA
Source: RNAcentral